UACGAAGGGGGCUAGCGUUGCUCGGAAUCACUGGGCGUAAAGGGUGCGUAGGCGGGGUUUUAAGUCAGGGGUGAAAUCCUGGAGCUCAACUCCAGAACUGCCUUUGAUACUGAAAAUCUUGAGUCCGGGAGAGGUGAGUGGAACUGCGAGUGUAGAGGUGAAAUUCGUAGAUAUUCGCAAGAACACCAGUGGCGAAGGCGGCUCACUGGCCCGGUACUGACGCUGAGGCACGAAAGCGUGGGGAGCAAACAGG
RNAcentral lists this ribosomal RNA (253 nucleotides) under uncultured bacterium. RNAcentral describes it as "partial 16S ribosomal RNA". It matches the Rfam family "Bacterial small subunit ribosomal RNA", at positions 524 to 776 of the family's 1533-position model. The record is from RNAcentral.